Molecule: ribosomal RNA, 253 nt
Filed under: uncultured bacterium
Lineage: Bacteria
Description: partial 16S ribosomal RNA
Rfam family: Bacterial small subunit ribosomal RNA
Source: RNAcentral
UACGUAGGGGGCAAGCGUUAUCCGGAUUUACUGGGUGUAAAGGGGGCGCAGACGGCAGCGCAAGCCAGGAGUGAAAGCCCGGGGCCCAACCCCGGGACUGCCCUUGGAACUGCGCGGCUGGAGUGCAGGAGGGGCAGGCGGAAUUCCUGGUGUAGCGGUGAAAUGCGUAGAUAUCAGGAGGAACACCGGUGGCGAAGGCGGCCUGCUGGACUGCGACUGACGUUGAGGCCCGAAAGCGUGGGGAGCAAACAGG